GGGUUGUGAGGUUAAGCGACUAAGCGUACACGGUGGAUGCCCUGGCAGUCAGAGGCGAUGAAGGGCGUGCUAAUCUGCGAUAAGCGCCGGUAAGGUGAUAUGAACCGUUAUAACCGGCGAUACCCGAAUGGGGAAACCCAGUGUGAUUCGUCACACUAUCAUUAACUGAAUCCAUAGGUUAAUGAGGCGAACCGGGGGAACUGAAACAUCUAAGUACCCCGAGGAAAAGAAAUCAACCGAGAUUCCCCCAGUAGCGGCGAGCGAACGGGGAGGAGCCCAGAGCCUGAAUCAGCAUGUGUGUUAGUGGAAGCGUCUGGAAAGGCGCGCGAUACAGGGUGACAGCCCCGUACACAAAAGCGCAUGUGUUGUGAGCUCGAUGAGUAGGGCGGGACACGUGGUAUCCUGUCUGAAUAUGGGGGGACCAUCCUCCAAGGCUAAAUACUCCUGACUGACCGAUAGUGAACCAGUACCGUGAGGGAAAGGCGAAAAGAACCCCGGCGAGGGGAGUGAAAAAGAACCUGAAACCGUGUACGUACAAGCAGUGGGAGCACAGGUUUACCUGUGUGACUGCGUACCUUUUGUAUAAUGGGUCAGCGACUUAU
This 602-nucleotide ribosomal RNA is filed under the name Salmonella enterica subsp. enterica. RNAcentral describes it as "partial 23S ribosomal RNA". It matches the Rfam family "Bacterial large subunit ribosomal RNA", at positions 1 to 631 of the family's 2925-position model. Lineage: Bacteria; Pseudomonadati; Pseudomonadota; Gammaproteobacteria; Enterobacterales; Enterobacteriaceae. The record is from RNAcentral.